Molecule: ribosomal RNA, 499 nt
Filed under: uncultured bacterium
Lineage: Bacteria
Description: bacterial SSU rRNA
Rfam family: Bacterial small subunit ribosomal RNA
Source: RNAcentral
GAUGAACGCUAGCUACAGGCUUAACACAUGCAAGUCGAGGGGCAGCAGGGAUUUAGCUUGCUAAAUCCGCUGGCGACCGGCGCACGGGUGCGUAACGCGUAUCCAACUUUCCCGUUACUCAGGGAUAGCCUUCCGAAAGGGAGAUUAAUACCUGAUGGUGUUUGAAAUUCGCAUGUUCUUCAAACUAAAGAUUUAUCGGUAACGGAUAGGGAUGCGUGACAUUAGAUAGUAGGCGGGGUAACGGCCCACCUAGUCUACGAUGUCUAGGGGUUCUGAGAGGAAGGUCCCCCACACUGGAACUGAGACACGGUCCAGACUCCUACGGGAGGCAGCAGUGAGGAAUAUUGGUCAAUGGGCGGAAGCCUGAACCAGCCAAGUAGCGUGAAGGAUUACUGCCCUACGGGUUUUAAACUCUUUUAUGCGAGAGUAAUGUGCGCUACGUGUAGCGUAUUGCAAGUAUCGCAUGAAUAAGCAUCGGCUAACUCCGUGCCAGCAGCCG